CACAUGCAAGUCGAGGGGUAUAGUAGCAAUACUAGAGACCGGCGCACGGGUGCGUAACGCGUAUGCAAUCUACCUUUUGCAGAGGGAUAGCCCAGAGAAAUUUGGAUUAAUACCUCAUAGUAUAACGACUCGGCAUCGAGAUGUUAUUAAAGUCACAACGGCAAAAGAUGAGCAUGCGUCCCAUUAGUUAGUUGGUAAGGUAACGGCUUACCAAGACUACGAUGGGUAGGGGUCCUGAGAGGGAGAUCCCCCACACUGGUACUGAGACACGGACCAGACUCCUACGGGAGGCAGCAGUGAGGAAUAUUGGACAAUGGGCGCAAGCCUGAUCCAGCCAUGCCGCGUGCAGGAUGACGGUCCUAUGGAUUGUAAACUGCUUUUGCACAGGAAGAAACAACGCUACGUGUAGCGUCUUGACGGUACUGUGAGAAUAAGGAUCGGCUAACUCCGUGCCAGCAGCCGCGGUAAUACGGAGGAUCCAAGCGUUAUCCGGAAUCAUUGGGUUUAAAGGGUCCGUAGGCGGUCUUAUAAGUCAGUGGUGAAAUCUCCCCGCUCAACGGGGAAACGGCCAUUGAUACUGUAGGACUUGAAUUAUUAGGAAGUAACUAGAAUAUGUAGUGUAGCGGUGAAAUGCUUAGAGAUUACAUGGAAUACCAAUUGCGAAGGCAGGUUACUACUAAUGGAUUGACGCUGAUGGACGAAAGCGUGGGUAGCGAACAGGAUUAGAUACCCUGGUAGUCCACGCCGUAAACGAUGGAUACUAGCUGUUGGGCGCAAGUUCAGUGGCUAAGCGAAAGUGAUAAGUAUCCCACC
RNAcentral lists this ribosomal RNA (813 nucleotides) under uncultured bacterium. RNAcentral's name for it is "bacterial SSU rRNA". It matches the Rfam family "Bacterial small subunit ribosomal RNA", at positions 52 to 873 of the family's 1533-position model. The record is from RNAcentral.